GACGAACGCUGGCGGCGUGCUUAACACAUGCAAGUCGAACGGAAAGGCCCUGCUUUUGUGGGUUCCUCAGUUGCCAACCGGGGAGGAAACCCGUGGUUAACCUCCCCUUGCUUUUGGGUUACCUUCGGGAAACUGGGGCUAUUCCCGGAUAGAACCUCCUCCUGCUUGGGGGGGGUUGGAAAGUUUCGGCGGUUGGGGAUGGACUCGCGGCUUAUCAGCUUGUUGGUGGGGUAGUGGCUUACCAAGGCUUUGACGGGUAGCCGGCCUGAGAGGGUAACCGGCCACAUUGGGACUGAGAUACGGCCCAGACUCCUACGGGAGGCAGCAGUGGGGAAUAUUGCACAAUGGGCGGAAGCCUGAUGCAGCAACGCCGCGUGCGGGAUGACGGCCUUCGGGUUGUAAACCGCUUUCGCCUGUGACGAAGCGUGAGUGACGGUAAUGGGUAAAGAAGCACCGGCUAACUACGUG
This 468-nucleotide ribosomal RNA is filed under the name uncultured bacterium. RNAcentral describes it as "partial 16S ribosomal RNA". It matches the Rfam family "Bacterial small subunit ribosomal RNA", at positions 28 to 507 of the family's 1533-position model. The record is from RNAcentral.